RNAcentral lists this transfer RNA (71 nucleotides) under Bos taurus (domestic cattle). It matches the Rfam family "tRNA". Rfam says of the family: Transfer RNA (tRNA) molecules are approximately 80 nucleotides in length. Their secondary structure includes four short double-helical elements and three loops (D, anti-codon, and T loops). The record is from Rfam by way of RNAcentral. Lineage: Eukaryota; Metazoa; Chordata; Mammalia; Artiodactyla; Bovidae. RNAcentral also lists the same sequence under 2 other names.
UCCCUGGUGGCUCAGUGGUAAAGAAUCUGCCUGCAAUGCAGGAGACCAGGGUUCGCUUCCCGGGUUGGGAA